Molecule: ribosomal RNA, 465 nt
Filed under: uncultured bacterium
Lineage: Bacteria
Description: partial 16S ribosomal RNA
Rfam family: Bacterial small subunit ribosomal RNA
Source: RNAcentral
GACGAACGCUGGCGGCGUGCUUAACACAUGCAAGUCGAACGGAAAGGCCUCUUUGGGGGUAUUCGAGUGGCGAACGGGUGAGUAACACGCGAGUAACCUGCCCUCGACUUCGGGAUAACUUCAGGAAACUGGGGCUAAUACCGGAUAGGAAUCUUUUCCGCAGGGUGGGGGUUGGAAAGCUUCGGCGGCUUUGGAUGGACUCGCGGCUUCUUAGCUUGUUGGUGGGGUAGUGGUUUACCAAGGCUUUGACGGGUAGCCGGCCUGGGAGGGCGAACGGCCACAUUGGGACUGAGAUACGGCCCAGACUCCUACGGGAGGCAGCAGUGGGGAAUAUUGGACAAUGGGCGGAAACCGGAUGCAGCAGCGCCGCGUGCGGGAUGACGGGCUUCGGGUUGUAAAACGCUUUCAGCAGGGGAGAAGCUUGUGGUGACGGUACCUGCAGAAGAAGCACCGGCUAACUACGUG